AGUGAACGCUGGCGGUAGGCCUAACACAUGCAAGUCGAACGGCAGCACAGUAAGAGCUUGCUCUUACGGGUGGCGAGUGGCGGACGGGUGAGGAAUACAUCGGAAUCUACUUUUUCGUGGGGGAUAACGUAGGGAAACUUACGCUAAUACCGCAUACGACCUACGGGUGAAAGCAGGGGAUCUUCGGACCUUGCGCGAUUGAAUGAGCCGAUGUCGGAUUAGCUAGUUGGCGGGGUAAAGGCCCACCAAGGCGACGAUCCGUAGCUGGUCUGAGAGGAUGAUCAGCCACACUAGAACUGAGACACGGUCCAGACUCCUACGGGAAGCAGCAGUGGGGAAUAUUGGACAAUGGGCGCAAACCUGAUCCAGCCAUACCGCGUGGGUGAAGAAGGCCUUCGGGUUGUAAAGCCCUUUUGUUGGGAAAGAAAAGCAGCAGGUUAAUACCCCGCUGUUCUGACGGUACCCAAAGAAUAAGCACCGGCUAACUUCGUG
This 492-nucleotide ribosomal RNA is filed under the name uncultured bacterium. Its description in RNAcentral is "partial 16S ribosomal RNA". It matches the Rfam family "Bacterial small subunit ribosomal RNA", at positions 29 to 507 of the family's 1533-position model. The record is from RNAcentral.